This 378-nucleotide unclassified non-coding RNA is filed under the name uncultured Pseudomonadota bacterium. RNAcentral's name for it is "uncultured proteobacterium contains 16S-23S intergenic spacer region". Lineage: Bacteria; Pseudomonadati; Pseudomonadota. The record is from RNAcentral.
UCCGGUUUGUCACCGGCAGUCCCAUUAGAGUGCCCAACUGAAUGUGGCAACUAAUGGCAAGGGUUGCGCUCGUUGCGGGACUUAACCCAGCAUCUCACGACACGAGCUGACGACAGCCAUGCAGCACCUGUGUCCAGGUUCCCUUUCGGGCACCCCUCCAUCUCUGAAGGGUUCCUGGCAUGUCAAGGGUAGGUAAGGUUUUUCGCGUUGCAUCGAAUUAAUCCGCAUGCUCCACCGCUUGUGCGGGCCCCCGUCAAUUCCUUUGAGUUUCAGCCUUGCGGCCGUACUCCCCAGGCGGGGCACUUAGUGCGUUAGCUGCGACACCGAAGGGGUCGUUCCCACCGGCAUCUAGUAUUCAUCGUUUACGGCAUGGACUAC